UGUUACUCAAUGUCAAAGCUGCUGUG
RNAcentral lists this non-coding RNA (26 nucleotides) under Drosophila erecta. RNAcentral also lists the same sequence under 2 other names. The record is from RNAcentral. Lineage: Eukaryota; Metazoa; Arthropoda; Insecta; Diptera; Drosophilidae.